ACGAACGCUGGCGGCGUGCUUAACACAUGCCAGUCGAACGGUGAACUCCGCUUGCGGGGGGAUCAGUGGCGAACGGGUGAGUAACACGUGGGCAACCUGCCCUCAGCUCUGGGAUAACUCCAAGAAAUUGGGGCUAAUACCGGAUAUGACCGCUGACCGCAUGGUCUGGUGGUGGAAAGAUUUAUCGGCUGGGGAUGGGCCCGCGGCCUAUCAGCUUGUUGGUGGGGUAGUGGCCUACCAAGGCGACGACGGGUAGCCGGCCUGAGAGGGUGACCGGCCACACUGGGACUGAGACACGGCCCAGACUCCUACGGGAGGCAGCAGUGGGGAAUAUUGCGCAAUGGGCGAAAGCCUGACGCAGCGACGCCGCGUGGGGGAUGACGGCCUUCGGGUUGUAAACCUCUUUCAGCAGGGACGAAGCGAAAGUGACGGUACCUGCAGAAGAAGCACCGGCCAACUACGUG
This 464-nucleotide ribosomal RNA is filed under the name uncultured bacterium. Its description in RNAcentral is "partial 16S ribosomal RNA". It matches the Rfam family "Bacterial small subunit ribosomal RNA", at positions 29 to 507 of the family's 1533-position model. The record is from RNAcentral.